RNAcentral lists this microRNA precursor (59 nucleotides) under Tupaia belangeri chinensis (Chinese tree shrew). Its description in RNAcentral is "Tupaia chinensis (Chinese tree shrew) microRNA tch-mir-152 precursor". Its record names the gene tch-mir-152. It matches the Rfam family "mir-148/mir-152 microRNA precursor family", at positions 9 to 65 of the family's 74-position model. From Rfam's summary of the family: The hairpin precursors (represented here) are predicted based on base pairing and cross-species conservation -- their extents are not known. In this case the mature sequence is excised from the 3' arm of the hairpin. Lineage: Eukaryota; Metazoa; Chordata; Mammalia; Scandentia; Tupaiidae. The record is from miRBase by way of RNAcentral.
AGGUUCUGUGAUACACUCAGACUCGGGCUCUGGAGCAGUCAGUGCAUGACAGAACUUGG